RNAcentral lists this ribosomal RNA (406 nucleotides) under uncultured bacterium. Its description in RNAcentral is "partial 16S ribosomal RNA". It matches the Rfam family "Bacterial small subunit ribosomal RNA", at positions 29 to 526 of the family's 1533-position model. The record is from RNAcentral.
AUUGAACGCUGGCGGCAGGCCUAACACAUGCACGUCGAACGAGUGGCGGACGGGUGAGUAAUGUCUGGGAAACUGCCCGAUGGAGGGGGAUAACUACUGGAAACGGUAGCUAAUACCGCAUACCAUCGGAUGUGCCCCGAUGGGAUUGGCUAGUAGGUGGGGUACCGGCGCACCUAGGCGACGAUACCUCGCUGGUCUGAGAGGAUGCCCAGCCAUACUGGAACGGAGACACGGUCCAGGUUCCUACGAGAGGCAGCAGUGGGGAAUAUUGCGCAAGGGGCGGAAGCCUGAUGCAGCCAGGCCGAGUGUAUGAAGAAGGCCUUCGGGUUGGAAAGUACUUUCAGCGAGGAGGCGUUACGCGCAGAAGAAGCACCGGCGAACUCCGUGCCAGCGGCCGCGGUAAUAC